This 1359-nucleotide ribosomal RNA is filed under the name uncultured bacterium. RNAcentral describes it as "bacterial SSU rRNA". It matches the Rfam family "Bacterial small subunit ribosomal RNA", at positions 28 to 1381 of the family's 1533-position model. The record is from RNAcentral.
GAUGAACGCUAGCUACAGGCUUAACACAUGCAAGUCGAGGGGCAGCAUUUCAGUUUGCUUGCAAACUGGAGAUGGCGACCGGCGCACGGGUGAGUAACACGUAUCCAACCUGCCGAUAACUCGGGGAUAGCCUUUCGAAAGAAAGAUUAAUACCCGAUGGUAUAAUCAGACCGCAUGGUCUUGUUAUUAAAGAAUUUCGGUUAUCGAUGGGGAUGCGUUCCAUUAGGCAGUUGGUGAGGUAACGGCUCACCAAACCUUCGAUGGAUAGGGGUUCUGAGAGGAAGGUCCCCCACAUUGGAACUGAGACACGGUCCAAACUCCUACGGGAGGCAGCAGUGAGGAAUAUUGGUCAAUGGGCGCAGGCCUGAACCAGCCAAGUAGCGUGAAGGAUGACUGCCCUAUGGGUUGUAAACUUCUUUUAUAUGGGAAUAAAGUUUUCCACGUGUGGAAUUUUGUAUGUACCAUAUGAAUAAGGAUCGGCUAACUCCGUGCCAGCAGCCGCGGUAAUACGGAGGAUCCGAGCGUUAUCCGGAUUUAUUGGGUUUAAAGGGAGCGUAGGUGGACAGUUAAGUCAGUUGUGAAAGUUUGCGGCUCAACCGUAAAAUUGCAGUUGAUACUGGCUGUCUUGAGUACAGUAGAGGUGGGCGGAAUUCGUGGUGUAGCGGUGAAAUGCUUAGAUAUCACGAAGAACUCCGAUUGCGAAGGCAGCUCACUGGACUGCAACUGACACUGAUGCUCGAAAGUGUGGGUAUCAAACAGGAUUAGAUACCCUGGUAGUCCACACAGUAAACGAUGAAUACUCGCUGUUUGCGAUAUACAGUAAGCGGCCAAGCGAAAGCAUUAAGUAUUCCACCUGGGGAGUACGCCGGCAACGGUGAAACUCAAAGGAAUUGACGGGGGCCCGCACAAGCGGAGGAACAUGUGGUUUAAUUCGAUGAUACGCGAGGAACCUUACCCGGGCUUAAAUUGCAACAGAAUAUAUUGGAAACAGUAUAGCCGUAAGGCUGUUGUGAAGGUGCUGCAUGGUUGUCGUCAGCUCGUGCCGUGAGGUGUCGGCUUAAGUGCCAUAACGAGCGCAACCCUUAUCUUUAGUUACUAACAGGUCAUGCUGAGGACUCUAGAGAGACUGCCGUCGUAAGAUGUGAGGAAGGUGGGGAUGACGUCAAAUCAGCACGGCCCUUACGUCCGGGGCUACACACGUGUUACAAUGGGGGGUACAGAAGGCGGCUACCUGGUGACAGGAUGCUAAUCCCAAAAACCUCUCUCAGUUCGGAUCGAAGUCUGCAACCCGACUUCGUGAAGCUGGAUUCGCUAGUAAUCGCGCAUCAGCCAUGGCGCGGUGAAUACGUUCCCGGGCCU